GAAAUGCGAUAAUUAAUGUGAAUUGCAGAAUUCAGUGAAUCAUCGAGUCUUUGAACGCACAUUGCGCCCCCUGGUAUUCCGGGGGGCAUGCCUGUCCGAGCGUCAUUGCUGCCCUCAAGCACGGCUUGUGUGUUGGGCUUCCGUCCCUGGCAACGGGGACGGGCCCAAAAGGCAGUGGCGGCACCAUGUCUGGUCCUCGAGCGUAUGGGGCUUUGUCACCCGCUCCCGUAGGUCCAGCUGGCAGCUAGCCUCGCAACCAAUCUUUUUAACCAGGUUGACCUCGGAUCAGGUAGGGAUACCCGCUGCACUUAAGC
RNAcentral lists this unclassified non-coding RNA (314 nucleotides) under plant metagenome. RNAcentral describes it as "partial contains 5.8S ribosomal RNA, internal transcribed spacer 2, and large subunit ribosomal RNA". The stretch from base 1 to 105 matches the Rfam family "5.8S ribosomal RNA", at positions 50 to 154 of the family's 154-position model. The record is from RNAcentral.